UACGUAGGCAGCGAGCGUUGUUCGGAAUUACUGGGCGUAAAGAGUGUGUAGGCGGUGCUCUAAGUUCGGUGUGAAAUCUCCUGGCUCAACUGGGAGGGUGCGCCGGAAACUGGAGUGCUUGAGCGUGGGAGAGGAAAGCGGAAUUCCUGGUGUAGCGGUGAAAUGCGCAGAUAUCAGGAGGAACACCAAUUGCGAAGGCAGCUCGCUGGGACGUUACUGACGCUGGAGACGCGAAAGCGUGGGGAGCAAACAGG
This 254-nucleotide ribosomal RNA is filed under the name uncultured bacterium. Its description in RNAcentral is "partial 16S ribosomal RNA". It matches the Rfam family "Bacterial small subunit ribosomal RNA", at positions 524 to 776 of the family's 1533-position model. The record is from RNAcentral.